GGGUGAGUAACACGUGGGCAACCUGCCCUGUAGACGGGGAUAACACCGAGAAAUCGGUGCUAAUACCGGAUAACACGAAAUGUCGCAUGACGUUUCGUUGAAAGACGGCGCAAGCUGUCGCUACAGGAUGGGCCCGCGGCGCAUUAGCUAGUUGGUGAGGUAACGGCUCACCAAGGCGACGAUGCGUAGCCGACCUGAGAGGGUGAUCGGCCACACUGGGACUGAGACACGCCCCAGACUCCUACGGGAGGCAGCAGUAGGGAAUCUUCCGCAAUGGACGAAAGUCUGACGGAGCAACGCCGCGUGAGCGAAGAAGGCCUUCGGGUCGUAAAGCUCUGUUGUUAGGGAAGAACAAGUAACGCAGUAACUGGCGUUACCGUGACGGUACCUAACGAGAAAGCCACGGCUAACUACGUGCCAGCAGCCGCGGUAAUACGUAGGUGGCAAGCGUUGUCCGGAAUUAUUGGGCGUAAAGCGCGCGCAGGCGGUUCCUUAAGUCUGAUGUGAAAGCCCACGGCUCAACCGUGGAGGGUCAUUGGAAACUGGGGGACUUGAGUGCAGAAGAGGAGAGCGGAAUUCCACGUGUAGCGGUGAAAUGCGUAGAGAUGUGGAGGAACACCAGUGGCGAAGGCGGCUCUCUGGUCUGUAUCUGACGCUGAGGCGCGAAAGCGUGGGAGCACACAGGAUUAGAUACCCUGGUAGUGCACGCCGUAAACGAUGAGUGCUAUGUGUUAGAGGGUAUCCGCCCUCUAGUGCUGUAGCUAACGCACUAAGCACUUCGCCUGGGGAGUACGCUCGCAAGAGUGAACUCAAAGGAAUUGACGGGGGGGCGCACAAGCGGUGGAGCAUGUGGUUUAAUUUGAAGCAACGCGAAGAACCUUACCAGGUCUUGACAUCCCCUGACAACCCGAGAGAUCGGGCGUUCCCCCUUCGGGGGGACAGGGUCACAGGUGGCGCAUGGUUGGUGCGUCAGCUCGUGUCGUGAGAUGUUGGGUUAAGUCCCGCAACGAGCGCAACCCUCGACCUUAG
Molecule: ribosomal RNA, 1029 nt
Filed under: Anoxybacillus sp.
Lineage: Bacteria; Bacillati; Bacillota; Bacilli; Caryophanales; Anoxybacillaceae
Description: bacterial SSU rRNA
Rfam family: Bacterial small subunit ribosomal RNA
Source: RNAcentral